Molecule: non-coding RNA, 945 nt
Organism: Marmota flaviventris (yellow-bellied marmot)
Lineage: Eukaryota; Metazoa; Chordata; Mammalia; Rodentia; Sciuridae
Source: RefSeq, a predicted model, not a curated record
CCCCAGCUCAAGGCCAGAGGCCUUGUUUUACAUAUUUUGUGAAAAACUAGUAAGGGGGUGUCCAGCUUUUCGAGUGCUGAUUUUUCCAGCCAGUGACCAAAUAAAACAGGGCAACGGGAAAAUAGGAAGUUUAUCUACAUUGAACUUUUUGUAGAGAUUCUUUUGCUGAAAGUCCUAAAAUCAGCCAUGGUGAAGAUUUCUGGAGAAGGGAUAUCUGCUGGGAUGGGCCCCGGAGCAGCAGGAUAGGGAGCCUCAACUCAUUACUAUGUAAAGUCAUCAGAACAGGUUAUUGAAGACAUCCAACAGGUUGCCAACUUUGUACUGAUUUUUCAAAAUCAACUGGACUCCCUGACAUCUGUCGUCCUGCAAAACCGGUUCAGGAAGAAUGCAGUAUGAAAACCAAUCAGAAGUGAAACAGUUUCAAUGUAAGGUGACCUGUUUAGCUCAAACCGCCUCCCAGGAACGCGUCAAAGCCAUUCUCCUGUGCUCACAAUCUGAUUCCCUGAAACCACAAAAAAGGGGACUUCGUCUAAGAUGACCUGAGGCUUCUUCCAUAUACACCUCUCUUCAGCCUCUACCACUGGGGUCUCCGUCUUCUCUCCCAGAACUCUGAAAGCGGGGAGUCCCUGACACUACUCCUUCUCAGCAGGAUGCAGCCGGAUAUUCAUUAUUUCUGUUCAGUCUGGAAAGGAGGAUAUGGAAAACUACAACCCCCAGGGAGAAAAGAAAACAAUGGGUUCAAGGGAAAGAAGGAAGACAACUGUGCUCUGGACUUUCACAGUUUCCUGUUCUACAACUGUUUCCCUGACUGCCCAACCGACACAGUCUGCUGUGAUUAAGUCUAACUAAACCCUACCAAACUUAGACCCCUAUUGUAACCAGUUGCCAUCUUUCUCCUAAAAAUGGGCCCUUCUACUGCUUAAUAAAGCAUCACUGAUCCACCAA